GCCAGCAGCCAUACCACCCUGCAACUCACAACUGGCAGCCCAAUGAAGGUAAGCAGGUGUGAGCCUGGUCUGUACCUGGAUGGGAGACCUCCUGGGAAAAACUAAGGUUGCUGCUGGAA
This 119-nucleotide ribosomal RNA is filed under the name Lepisosteus oculatus (spotted gar). The record is from RNAcentral. Lineage: Eukaryota; Metazoa; Chordata; Actinopteri; Semionotiformes; Lepisosteidae.